Long non-coding RNA from Papilio xuthus (Asian swallowtail), 216 nucleotides. RefSeq lists it as uncharacterized. The transcript has 3 exons. NCBI's taxonomy places the organism in Eukaryota, Metazoa, Arthropoda, Insecta, Lepidoptera, Papilionidae. The record is from RefSeq and is a predicted model, not a curated record.
AGUAAACAAAACCUAAUUGAAGCUUUUUGAACCAAAAUUACGCUUUUGUUUAUUUUAAGUAAAACUUCAGUUUUUUUCGGUCGUUUGUUCUUCCAAAUUGUAUCGCCCUCGAGGGAGCCACGGGCAAUCAGUGCGCCGGCUGGCUGGGAGAACUCAGCACCUUGCUGGGACAGCACGUGAUGCGCGAUGUCGUAGUGGCGCAGACCGAAGCGGGAC